Molecule: long non-coding RNA, 3157 nt
Organism: Taeniopygia guttata (zebra finch)
Lineage: Eukaryota; Metazoa; Chordata; Aves; Passeriformes; Estrildidae
Source: Ensembl
CUUCCAUCUUGGAGCCAUCUGGGCACAGCCACGACUGUGGCUCUGGUCCUGCCAGGGUGUAGCCUUUGAAGAUGCUUCAAUGAAUUUCUAUUUUACUCCCCCUUAACUCCAUCUAGCUUCUGCUGCAGCUCCUUAAGGCAUCAAGGGAACAGACUGGAACCUGUCUGUGUGUCCUGCAGUAGGAGCCUGUGCCUGUGUCCCAGCAGUGUGUGGGCAGGGGUACAGUUUUCAGACAGUCACUGCCUGGGUGAGUGGAGAAAAUGCUGAAGCACUGAGAGAAAACCACUCCUGAAGAGCAGCAGAACUUGCCCAGAAGGAUGUUUCAUAGUGCAGCAAUUAACUGAUACACCAGGCUAUCAGGUGCCAAGGGGCUCUUUCCAUGGAAGAGGACAUCUGAAUCCAAGACAUUUAUUUUGCAUCUGAGGAGGUGCAGUGAGAGCCAGAGGGAACAGGGAGCAGCAUCCCCUGAGCAGGAGCAUGAGCUGGUACCACACUCUGAUCUCAUGUCUGUAGCCCCAAGCUCCUCCAAGGAUGCUCCUAAGUGGGGCUGGACUGAAAAAUCCCCAGUGCUUGGACCAGCUCAGGACAGAGCAGCCCCACCUGAGCCCAUAAAGUAGAUUUGGGACUGCCCUGAGCAGCUGCUGCUGCUGAAUGCCUGCUGGGGAGCACGGAGAAGCAACAGAGGGUGAGAGCUGCUGGUGCUCAGAAGGCACAGAUUCCAUCUUAUCUGGUCACUCUUCUCCUGGCCAGUAAAUCUGUGAGAAAGUGGCAAUGAAAUGUUAAUUACCUCCAAAAUUAUCUGCCUCCAGUUAUUGCUAGAAAUGGCAUUGAAAACAACAAAAUGUUGAACCUCAUGCAGCCACUUCACCAAGACUUCAAGACUUUUGACACUGGUGCAAAGGCUUCCACAGCAGAUCUGCACUGCAUGGAGAAGCUUUUCCUUCUGAUGCCUGCUUGCCUAAUUCCAUGAACAGAGACCAAGAGUUUGCCAGCCUGAGUAUAUUCCAAGGUGAUGAAUACCAUGGGACAACGUGAAACUCACAGACUGGUUUGAUUUCACUAUGAACACGGGUUGGCUUCGUUAUGCUACCAGCGCUGUUUGGUAUGGCCAAAGAAGUGUCAGUAUUAAAAAUAAUUACAAGUGUAAAAGAAACUCCAUAACCUAAAUUAGUGGAUCCACUGUGUUAUCUACAGAAAGAAGAACUGGGUGUGUUAUGCACUGUGCUCAAGGCUAGGUAAAUUCCUUAGCUUUAGAUAUUUUGGCAUCAAUUACCUGUAAUUAUUUUUGUCCUUUCAUUGAGAUUUACGUUGGUCUGAAUCAUCACUAAAAACCUAAUUAAAUCAGCUAUUUCCUUUUCUUUUAGUCCUGUUCCAUGAUGAGUUUAUUCUCAUUUUGUUCAUAUUUGGACAUUAAUCUUCUCAAUGUUUGUGAAAAUCUCUGGAGAAGAGGGAUUCACGUGAAACACAAGGAGGAGAAUGAAGGCACCUCAGUGAUCUCUGAGAGAUUUUAUGCACUCAGGUGACAAGAUUUUCCAAAGUAUUUACAGUAUUUACAAAACUGAUGGCUAUUGUCAGUCCAGAGUUAUCUGUCACGGUUGUAAAGGGAAUUUUGACUUCACAACAAAAGAGUCUCUUCUUUUCUGUGAUUUUUCCCCCCCAUGUCUGUAUGUAUACAUAUAAAAACACAUUUUAAAUUCAUUCCUGUGCUUCACUUUCACAAAGAAGACUCGCUGUCUGUCAGUUCCUGUUGUAGCUGUCUCCAAAGCUCCAGAGUUUUUAUUUGCUUCCUCUGCCAAUGAAUAUGUAGAAACUCCAUCAAAACCCAAGGAGUCACACCUGUGUAAAACUGGUUCCAACAUUGCACCUAUUGUGUUUAGAAGUCAAAUGUACACAUUUGCAGAAUCCCAAGGAAGUGAAACAUUUGCUUUAAAUGGAUGCAAGAGAGGUCAUGGCAAUGUCUGUGAGAUCCUAAGCCUGAGUUUUUUGCUGCUCUUUUUAACUCUUCUGAAACAAUCCAUGAAAAUCAGGAUGCAACAAGGACUCUUUUAGCCCCAAGCAGGGAAAAAGACUUUGUAAAACAAGAACCAAGAGUGAUGUUUGGAAUCCACAACUUAGUCUUAUUAAAAAGAACAGGAGGGGCACAGGUGGGCAGAAAAUGGUGGUGCCUUCAGGUGGGAGUGUGGGAAUUGUCUCCUAAAUUAAAGUUUUCCUCACAAUCGUGAAAUGCUUUAGUAAUUUUUAAGGCACUAUCCUCAAACUUAUUAAUUUACACUUACAUUGAGGCGCCCCUUGCACCAGAAUUGGGUGGUGUCUGCAAAUUACAGCACCUUACAGUUCUGCUGCCUUCAUGUGCCUCAUUCCCACAUAAAUGCCGUGUGCCCUCCCACCCCUGUGCCAUGCAUAUGUAAAAUCUGCUUUAAUUCCAAUCAACCCCUCAGCAAAUGCCAUUUUAGUCCUGAAUUGUGCCCAAAGGAUUGAGGGGAUGUGCUCUGCAGUGCUGUGCAGGCACACAGAGACAAACCCUGCAGUGCUGCUGCAGCAUCACCAGGCAUCUGGAAUCCAACAGGAACAUGAAAUAUAUAUAUAUAUAUAUAUGUUUUUCAUUCACACGGUGGAGAAAAAAUGGGUUAUUUAACAGAAAAAAUCCAACCCCACAAAGCAGUUUUGUGGAAGAAAGCAGGUGGUCUCCAAUUUAAAAGCACUUGCAAUUUUGGUUGCUGUCUUACAUAUGUAGGUGGGGGAGCAUAAAACACUGGCUGGAUUUUUCUGAUCAUUUCCCUUGCUAACAUCCAAGCAAAACCAAAGUGAAUUUUAGCAUCUCACGCUGCAUCUUUUAAAAGCUCUUCACAGAUGUAUUCCUUAACAGUACAAAAACACUUUUCUUAAUUCUCUUAAUUGCUUGGAAUUGUUGUCUGUGGAAGUAAUUGGUGAGUAAAUUGUUUUAGCUGGAAAUCAAUGUCAUGCAGCCAAACCAACAGAUUGUAGGGGCGAAUAACAAAAUUCAAUUCAAACAAGCAGGAAUAAGAGGUUUUAUGCUACUUAUGUAUUUUUGAUCAAAAUAAACUACCUGAUGGUGCACAGGAAGGGAGUGUGGGGUAACAGGAUGGAAGGAAAAUAUCUGUUCUAGCCAUCCAUCUACUCUAAAGUCUGAACUUUU